RNAcentral lists this ribosomal RNA (1424 nucleotides) under uncultured cyanobacterium. Its description in RNAcentral is "bacterial SSU rRNA". It matches the Rfam family "Bacterial small subunit ribosomal RNA". Lineage: Bacteria; Bacillati; Cyanobacteriota. The record is from RNAcentral.
ACGAAAGUCUUCGGACUUUAGUGGCGGACGGGUGAGUAACGCGUGAGAAUCUGCCUAUAGGUUGGGGACAACAGUUGGAAACGGCUGCUAAUACCCAAUGUGCCGAGAGGUGAAAGCUUUAGUGCCUGUAGAUGAGCUCGCGUCCGAUUAGCUAGUUGGUUGGGUAAUGGCUGACCAAGGCGACGAUCGGUAGCUGGUCUGAGAGGAUGAUCAGCCACACUGGGACUGAGACAUGGCCCAGACUCCUACGGGAGGCAGCAGUGGGGAAUUUUCCGCAAUGGGCGAAAGCCUGACGGAGCAAUACCGCGUGCGGGACGAAGGCUUUUGGGUCGUAAACCGCUUUUGUUAGGGAAGAAGAACUGACGGUACCUAACGAAUCAGCAUCGGCUAACUCCGUGCCAGCAGCCGCGGUAAUACGGGGGAUGCAAGCGUUAUCCGGAAUUAUUGGGCGUAAAGCGUCCGCAGGUGGUCUAUCAAGUCUGCUGUCAAAGCAUGGGGCUUAACCCCAUAUCGGCGGUGGAAACUGGGAGACUAGAGUACGGUAGGGGUAGCGGGAAUUCCCAGUGUAGCGGUGAAAUGCGUAGAUAUUGGGAAGAACACCAGCGGCGAAAGCGCGCUACUAGGCCGAAACUGACACUCAUGGACGAAAGCUAGGGGAGCGAAAGGGAUUAGAUACCCCUGUAGUCCUAGCUGUAAACGAUGACAACUAGGUGUUGCGCGUAUCGACCCGUGCAGUGCCGUAGCUAACGCGUUAAGUUGUCCGCCUGGGGAGUACGCACGCAAGUGUGAAACUCAAAGGAAUUGACGGGGGCCCGCACAAGCGGUGGAGUAUGUGGUUUAAUUCGAUGCAACGCGAAGAACCUUACCAGGGYUGACAUGUCGCGAAUUCUUGUGAAAGCGAGAAGUGCCUUAAGGAGCGCGAACACNAGGUGGUGCAUGGCUGUCGUCAGCUCGUGUCGUGAGAUGUUGGGUUAAGUCCCGCAACGAGCGCAACCCUCGUUUCUAGUUGCCAUCAUUUAGUUGGGCACUUUAGAGAGACUGCCGGUGACAAACCCGGAGGAAGGUGGGGAUGACGUCAAGUCAGCAUGCCCUUUACGUCCUGGGCUACACACGUACUACAAUGCUGUGGACAAAGAGUUGCGAGCCAGCGAUGGCAAGCUAAUCUCAUAAACCAUGGCUCAGUUCAGAUUGCAGGCUGCAACUCGCCUGCAUGAAGGAGGAAUCGCUAGUAAUCGCAGGUCAGCAUACUGCGGUGAAUACGUUCCCGGGCCUUGUACACACCGCCCGUCACACCAUGGGAGUUGGCUACGCCCGAAGUCAUUACUCCAACCGAAAGGAGGGGAAUGCCGAAGGCAGGGCUGAUGACUGGGGUGAAGUCGUAACAAGGUAGCCGUACCGGAAGGUGUGGCUGGAUCACCUCCUUU